RNAcentral lists this ribosomal RNA (1458 nucleotides) under metagenome. RNAcentral's name for it is "bacterial SSU rRNA". It matches the Rfam family "Bacterial small subunit ribosomal RNA". The record is from RNAcentral.
AGAGUUUGAUCCCGGCUCAGGAUAAACGCUGGCGGCGUGCUUUAUGCAUGCAAGUCGCACGGUCAAUCGCAAGAAAGACAGUGGCAAACGGGUGCGUAACACAUAAGUAACCUGCCCCUAAGUGGAGAAUAGCUCCGGGAAACUGGAGGUAAUGCUGCAUGUUGUGGCGAGGGUAACGCUUCGUCAAUAAAGCCCGUAAGGGCGCUUGGGGAGGGGCUUAUGUCUGAUUAGCUAGUUGGUGAGGUAACGGCCCACCAAGGCUUUGAUCGGUAGCUGGUCUGAGAGGAUGGUCAGCCACAAUGGGACUGAGACACGGCCCAUACUCCUACGGGAGGCAGCAGCAAGGAAUUUUGUGCAAUGGGCGAAAGCCUGACACAGCGACGCCGCGUGAAGGAUGAAGACCUUCGGGUUGUAAACUUCUUUUCUCAGGGAAGAAUAAUGACGGUACCUGAGGAAUAAGCUUCGGCUAACUACGUGCCAGCAGCCGCGGUAAUACGUAGGAAGCGAGCGUUAUCCGGAUUUAUUGGGCGUAAAGAGGGCGCAGGCGGCCUUUCAAGUCGAAUGUUAAAACUCCCGGCUUAACUGGGAGAGGUCAUUCGAUACUAUUGGGCUCGAGGGCUGUAGGGGGAGAUGGAAUUCCCGGUGUAGCAGUGAAAUGCGUAGAUAUCGGGAGGAACACCAGUGGCGAAAGCGGUCUCCUUGGCAGUUCCUGACGCUUAAGCCCGAAAGCGUGGGGAGCGAACAGGAUUAGAUACCCUGGUAGUCCACGCUGUAAACUAUGAGCACUUGCCAUAGGGAGUAUCGACCCUCCCUGUGGCGAAGCUAACGCGUUAAGUGCUCCGCCUGGGGAGUACGGUCGCAAGACUAAAACUCAAAGGAAUUGACGGGGGCCCGCACUAGCAGCGGAGCGUGUGGUUUAAUUCGAUGCAACACGAAGAACCUUACCAAGGCUUGACAUGACAGAAGUAGCUGAAGGAAACGGAUGCCAACCGUUAAGUCGGUAGCUGCCACAAGUGCUGCAUGGCUGUCGUCAGCUCGUGCCGUGAGGUGUUGGGUUAAGUCCCGCAACGAGCGCAACCCUCAUUGCCAGUUAAUUUCUCUGGCGAGACUGCCCCGCAAAACGGGGAGGAAGGUGGGGAUGACGUCAAGUCAGCAUGGCCCUUAUGCCUUGGGCCACACACACGCUACAAUGGACUACACAAUUGGUUGCAAGAGCGCGAGCUGGAGCCAAUCCGAUAAAGUAGUUCUCAGUUCGGAUUGCAGGCUGAAACCCGCCUGCAUGAAGCUGGAGUUGCUAGUAAUCGCAGGUCAGCAUACUGCGGUGAAUACGUUCUCGGGCCUUGUACACACCGCCCGUCACGUCAUGAAAGUCGGCAACACCUGAAGUCGAUAGGCUAACCGCAAGGAGGCAGUCGCCUAGGGUGGGGCUGAUAAUUGGGACGAAGUCGUAACAAGGUA